UUUUUAUCUGUGGAUUAUUAUUUAAAUCACAAUACAAGCAUGCCUAAUGUUUGCAUGUUGUUUAGAUCCUGCUGCACAUUAUGAAGCCUUUUUGAGAUAUCUUCGAUCUACCCAGCCUACUACUUGUAAGUUUGUAUAGUAUAACUUGAAUAUCAAAUAUUAGCAUGUAUAUCUUGGUUUAAUUUAUAUUAUUUUUGAUCUUUACUUUAUUAGUUGCUACAGUUAGUUAUUUUAAAAGCUAGUACUUUAUUUAAUGUGAGUUAAUUAAUGUGAAAUAUCUUUUGCAUACUUAAUUACUAAUCUUUUUUUUUUUAGUUUAUUUACUGUUUGUUUGAGUUAAAUAAUAUUAUUUGAUUUUAAACUAGUUUAACUAUUUGAUUUUAAACCAGUUUAACUUAUGUUUACAGUUUCUAAAUAUUAUAUUUACGUAACCAUUACUUGUUUGUAGAAGGAUUUAAAGAUCCAAUAAAAAGUGGAGUUAUGUUUCCGGAUGCAGUGAAAAAGGAUUUAGCUGUAAACUUUACUUUGCAUGGCGAAACACCUACACGCUGUCAAAAUGGACAUUUAAUUCUUUUAUUCAUUAAUAACGGCGAGUCCAUUGUUAAUACUCUUAAACAAGUCAAUCAGUUAUUUAGCUUUAACACUGGUAAACAUAAACUUUAUAAUGUUAUUAACAUUUCCAAAAAAUUGGCUAAAAAUUAUGAUAGGGAUUUUUCAAAAUUUACUGAAUUUUGUAAUCAUCCCUUUGAAUACCAUUCACCAAACAUGUCAUUGAAACAUGUCAUAAAAACAUGUCAUUGAAAAAGGCAAUAGAUCUUAAUCAGACUAGUUCAUUGAUUACUGUUUCAGGGUCUUCUGUUCUGUCAUCCCAUGAACAUAUGGCUGUUUUACCCCUAGUUAAUGACACACUGUUUUCGUCUGAAAUUUCCAUAGAAAAUAAAAAAAAGCAUGCAUCUAGAGAAGAACUGACCCCCAAAAAAGCUAAACUCAUCACUAGGUUAUCCUAAUUUUCUUCUAAGUUAGCUAUCUCAACCAAAGACUACAAGAAAAAAGUAGCAAAAGUUAAAUUGAAAUACAAUAGCAUGCCAUAUAAGUUAAAAAUAUUCAAGAAAAGUAUAAAAAGGAAAGAAGAAAUUAUUAAAGCUUUAAGGACAGAAGUUAGAGAACUAAAAAAACAAAUUAAAACUUAUCAUUACAGUCGGUUAUUUCGCAAUCUUAAAGCAAAAAAAGGCGUUGACAGUAAAAGAAAAUCAAAACUUAAUGCAAAUAACAGUAAAACAUAAUAAUGAUGGUAAGGCAAAUAAAAUGUUAAUUGCUCAAUUAGAAAAUGAUAUUUUCCAGAUAAAAGAGGGGAAAAUUCCAAAUGUUAAUAUGUCAGAAGACAAUAAGAGUUACCCUUUAAAAAUGAGGAUGAUAAUUUAUAGCAUGUUAUUAGCCCCAUGUUCCAACCAGUAAUAUUCAAUUCCUAAUUUCAAAAAUUAGGCAGUAUUUGGGUGUUAACUUUAUGGACAUUCCUCAUCGUUGUACUAUCGAACAAAUGGCUGGUGAGCUUGGCAGUAUAGCAGAACUGCUAUACUGCCAACUAAACUUUUUCAUUUCAGAACUUGUUUGUGACAGGCAGCAGAAUGAGUAAUUCUUAUCUUACACUUGGAUUCGAUGCAACAACACAUAAAGGUGUUCAUAUCAACACUGUUCAUCUGACAUCUAAAAACAACUGUCAGGUCAUUGCUCUGGACCAGUUACCAGGUGGAACAGCUGUUGAUUAUGAAAGCCAUAUAUGUGGUGCAGUUGAUCAUUUAGCUUUUAUUUAUUCAGAUUUUCACUCGCUUCCCUUUAAUGAAUGUCGAGUUCAAUCAUAUCAAAUAUAUCCAACACAAUGUCUGACAGGGUGUCGGUUAAUCAUCUUACCAUUUCCAAAAUUUGUAAUACCUGGGGAAAGAAUUUGAAUGAACUAAACUGUCAUUUACAACCUCUAGACACAAUUGUCAUUUCAUCUCGCGAAGUUUUGAAAUCUCUAGACAUUGCAAAUUGUAUGGAAGUGAUUGUAUGGCAGUAAAAAUUGUGUUAGCAAUAAACAAGAUGAGGUUUAAAGAUGGCAAAGGUGAUCCACAAGGUUUUGUAAAUUUUUUAGACAAUAACAAACUACCGCGAGGUAUUAUUCCACAGAAUCGUGGUAACUGCCUGCACAUUCUUUUCCAUACCUGUUUCAUUUUUAUGAAACACUAUACUGAUUUUCUAAAUUAUCUGACCACUGGAACAGUAAAAUGUUUCAGUUUACAACCGAUUCUACGAGAAGCAUUUUGUAAUGCAACAGCUAUAAAACAAAUGGGAGUGCUUGCGCUGUUCAGUAAACUUCUAAGUGGACCUUGGAUGACUAAGUUUUAUGUAUCAGCUGAUGAUGCAAGUUUUGAUCAUGUCACUGGUAUCCAAUUAGUAAAAAAUGUUUUAAAAGAAAUUACUUAUUGCAAAUCUGAUCCAGCUAUACUAUUUUGUAGAGAAACAGAUUUUUUUGGGACAACGCUUGCCCCAAAUAUUUUACAAUCUAUUACAACUUUAUGCCCCAUUGAUGAGCAAAUUGUUGAAAUGACUUCUGCUUGUCUAAAUGCAAUUGAUGAAGUUUUGACUCGUCAAUAUAAAAAGAUAUUUUUCUCUUUCCAUUACUGCAAAACUCAAAAAAGAGACAGCUAGUGCAAGGCUUCACAAUAUAGAUAGUGAAGAAUUAGUUGUUUUUAAGAAUUAGUAUUUUUUUUAAGAAUUAGUAUGUUUAGUGAUGCCAAAGGACGAUGCCCCAAUGCAACAAUUUCUUAUAUAUCUAGCAAAUUAAGAUCCAAAAAGAAUAAAACUAUAGAUUAUCUCAAUAAUCUUGAGGAGUUGUCUAGAGAAAAGGUAGUAAAGUGGUCUAUUUACAUGGCACGUAAAAAAAGAAUGAGAUCUCGACUACUACAUAAUGAAAUUCGAACAGAAAUUUCUGUUAGACAGGUGUUUAAACGUCAAAAAAUGGAUGAAAAACAAAAAAGAAAGUUAGAGCGUGAGCUAUGUCUAUUAACUACCAGCGAAAUAAUGAAUUUAUAUAAACACUUAUCUGCCAAGCAACUUGAUGAUUUAGAUGAUGUUAUGUCUGAAAGAAUUGUUGGAAGAAAACUCUGUCACAAAUGGUAUGUUGCCAACUAUUCAAAGACAGUUAUUUAUGAUGGAAGAGUAGAAAAAGUAAACAAGAGACAACAAGACAGAAUUUGCACUAUUUCUUACUGGAUUCAAGAUGAAACAGAUAUUGAAGCUGUUGAAUAUAAGAUGAAAAAAAUACAGCUUGCUACUGAUGUUAUGACAGGAGAAUUAGUAUUUUCUUAAUUUGAAUAUAAAAAUAAUUUAUAUGCUACUUUAUUUAAAUUUUUAUAAUUUAUAUUUGAACAUGAAAAUAGUUUAUAUUAUGUAUAACAGUUUUUAAUUAUAUUUACAUUAUAUUGAAAAAUUACCAAAGAAGUACCGCAAGUUGUGUAGCUUGCAAAAGGAGUAUCCCAAGUUUUGUAGCUUGCAAAAGGAGUAUCGCAAGUUGUUUAGCUUGCAAAUAUGGUACAGCAAGUUGUUUAGCUUGCAAAAGGAGUAUCGCAAGUUGUUUAGCUUGCAAAUAUGGUACAGCAAGUUGUGUAGCUUGCAAAUAUGGUACAGCAAUUUGUGUAGCUUGCAAAAGGAGUACCGCAAGUUGUGUAGCUUGUAAAAUAUUUUUGAUAGACGGCUCUGGCUUACCUUCACGUGGUGUUUAUUGUUAAAAGUGAUUUAUUUAGUUUCAUUAUUGGAAUUUUAAAUAAUAUCAUUUACUAAAAGCCAAGACAUAAAUUUAUUAUAUUUAAUGUUUUGUCACUUUUUAAAUGCAAGUUAUAAAAUUUGUUUUAUCUUUGGCUUAUUUUUAGGGUGGAUACUCCAUCUUACAUCUUAUAAUGUGGUAAGAUUUGUAAAGUUAUGUCUGUCUUUUUAAAUAAAUGCAAUUGAAAAAAGUGUGAAUAAGUAGAAGGGGGGGAGGGAGCGUUGGUCGUGACACGCCCCUCCCCUAACGUAGUAAAAUAAUCUUGUAUACUAACUUCUUUUCUUCAAUAAACUCAAUUGAAAACCUUUUUUUAAAUCUCUUUUUAAAAUUUUUUUUUAAUGUUGGAGAACACUGGGGAAGAGGCAGAGGGUGUUCCAGCCACACAUCCCAGCCAUGAAGUCAAAUAAUACAACACUUUUAAAUGCUGUAAAUAUUUAUGAGAAUGGAACAAUUCACUACAAGGGUGUUAAAACGUAACAAAGACAUCGACUUUUUAAUCUAAAAUAGACCACUAAUAUUUGGAAAUGGAAUGGAAGCAAAUUAGAACAAUUUUUUGUGUAUAUAGAUAAUAUAUUUUAUCAGAAAAACACCUUUUCGUGUAAAAAACUUGUAUUUUUUUAAGGGUACGAGGGUGUUCCGUACCCCCUCCGGCCCUCUAGACACCCCUUUUAUCUAUAGAGUUAUAUGAACUUGUAGCCUACUCUUACAUUUAUCUUUUGAUACCAAGGUAUAGACAUUUGGAUAAGAUUUGACAAAGUUAUAACAAUUUUAGU
Molecule: non-coding RNA, 4575 nt
Organism: Hydra vulgaris (swiftwater hydra)
Lineage: Eukaryota; Metazoa; Cnidaria; Hydrozoa; Anthoathecata; Hydridae
Source: RefSeq, a predicted model, not a curated record